This 24-nucleotide microRNA is filed under the name Pristionchus pacificus. Its description in RNAcentral is "ppc-miR-8255-5p". The record is from miRBase by way of RNAcentral. Lineage: Eukaryota; Metazoa; Nematoda; Chromadorea; Rhabditida; Neodiplogasteridae.
UAUGCCCCGCGUCAAGGAUCAACU